RNAcentral lists this ribosomal RNA (330 nucleotides) under uncultured bacterium. Its description in RNAcentral is "bacterial SSU rRNA". It matches the Rfam family "Bacterial small subunit ribosomal RNA", at positions 568 to 898 of the family's 1533-position model. The record is from RNAcentral.
UCCGUAGGCGGUGCGGCAAGUCGGAAGUGAAAUCUCAGGGCUUAACCCUGAGGCUGCUUCCGAAACUGCCGUGCUCGAGUGCGAGAGAGGCGAGUGGAAUUGCAGGUGUAGCGGUGAAAUGCGUAGAUAUCUGCAGGAACAUCCGAGGCGAAAGCGGCUCGCUGGAUCGCAACUGACGCUGAGGGACGAAAGCUAGGGGAGCAAACAGGAUUAGAUACCCUGGUAGUCCUAGCCCUAAACGAUCAGGACUGGGCGUGGGCCUCGUACGGGGCCCGUGCCGCAGCUAACGCGUUAAGUCCUGCGCCUGGGGAGUACGGUCGCAAGGCUGAA